RNAcentral lists this small RNA (180 nucleotides) under Syntrophaceticus schinkii. RNAcentral's name for it is "c-di-AMP sequence". It matches the Rfam family "c-di-AMP riboswitch aptamer (ydaO/yuaA leader)". From Rfam's summary of the family: This family represents a conserved RNA structure found upstream of the ydaO and yuaA genes in Bacillus subtilis and related genes in other bacteria. The ydaO/yuaA element is thought to act as a genetic "off" switch for the ydaO and yuaA genes in its native state. The record is from Rfam by way of RNAcentral. Lineage: Bacteria; Bacillati; Bacillota; Clostridia; Thermoanaerobacterales; Thermoanaerobacterales Family III. Incertae Sedis.
UGACCAGUAACGCUGAGUUCUCCUGGGGAGAAGCGGGGAAACCAAUUUUAGGGGUGAAUCCUCGGCACUUUAGCAGCACAUUUUGUCAUUCGAUGUGAUGUGAGUGAGUGUCAGGGUAGGGUUACCUUGCAACCCCGAACCCCGUCAGCUAAACCCUCGUAAGCCGUGGGGAAAGGGAAA